Molecule: transfer RNA, 72 nt
Organism: Camelus ferus (Wild Bactrian camel)
Lineage: Eukaryota; Metazoa; Chordata; Mammalia; Artiodactyla; Camelidae
Rfam family: tRNA
About the family: Transfer RNA (tRNA) molecules are approximately 80 nucleotides in length. Their secondary structure includes four short double-helical elements and three loops (D, anti-codon, and T loops).
Source: Rfam
GAGCAUGUAGCUCAGCGCUAGAGCACAUGCUUAGCAUGCAUAAGGUCCUGGGUUCAAUCCCCAGCACAUCCA